UAGUCCACGCCGUAAACGAUGAUUACUCGCUGUAGGCGAUACACAGUCUGUGGCUAAGCGAAAGUUUUAAGUAAUCCACCUGGGGAGUACGAUCGCAAGAUUGAAACUCAAAGGAAUUGACGGGGGCCCGCACAAGCGGAGGAACAUGUGGUUUAAUUCGAUGAUACGCGAGGAACCUUACCUGGACUUAAAUGUGCGUUGCAUAGAUCAGAGAUGGUCUUUUCUUCGGACUACGUACAAGGUGCUGCAUGGUUGUCGUCAGCUCGUGCCGUGAGGUGUCAGGUUAAGUCCUAUAACGAGCGCAACCCCUGUUGUUAGUUGCCAGCGAGUAAAGUCGGGAACUCUAGCAAGACUGCCGGUGCAAACCGCGAGGAAGGUGGGGAUGACGUCAAAUCAUCACGGCCCUUACGUCCUGGGGCCACACACGUGCUACAAUGGUAGGUACAGAGAGCAGCCACUUGGUGACAAGGAGCGAAUCUAUAAAACCUAU
RNAcentral lists this ribosomal RNA (490 nucleotides) under uncultured bacterium. Its description in RNAcentral is "bacterial SSU rRNA". It matches the Rfam family "Bacterial small subunit ribosomal RNA", at positions 791 to 1286 of the family's 1533-position model. The record is from RNAcentral.